GACACUUCACAUAAUUAAUGUCAAGCAAUGGAGAUCCGAUAAGGCUUUAUAUUGGUGGGAAAGAGUCUUUUUAGCUAAUCUAAUGCUUUCUGAAGCUUAUAUGUUCCUUCUUUUUCCAAAAGGGAAAUCAAGAUAUCCUUUUCCAGGUUUUUUUAAAGCAGGCGGCAAAAGUGACAAACACCAUAAUUUAUUCUUGCUAGGCAUAGAAGAGGUGUCAAUUAUGCCUUUUUUUAAUCCCAUAAUUUAAUUCUGCAUACAUGGGCUAUGCAUGGCAGCAUUAUUCUCUUUGUACAUCUAUAAAUUUAGCUUCUUCCUCACAUGCAUCCCUUACCUUUCCCUGUCUAUUGCUUCCUGCCAUCCAAGCUGAUUUCUCUAAGUUCAAACUACUUUUGUAAGCACAAAUCCAUCAUCAUUUCUCUUCUCUGUUAUCAUAUCAGUUAUCAUCACAAAGUAUAGCAGUACUUCUAAACUGUGUUUUCUUUGCUUUAUUUUGCAGGAAAUGGAUUUCCUUGGAAUUUAUCUGAUAACCCUCCUGGCCAUUUCCAAAAGAAUUCAUGCGUAUGCAGGUGGAUGGUCUAAUGGCCAUGCUACCUUCUAUGGAGGUGG
This 606-nucleotide unclassified non-coding RNA is filed under the name Hevea brasiliensis (rubber tree). Lineage: Eukaryota; Viridiplantae; Streptophyta; Magnoliopsida; Malpighiales; Euphorbiaceae. The record is from RNAcentral.